AGCGAACGCUGGCGGCAGGCUUAACACAUGCAAGUCGAGCGGGCGUAGCAAUACGUCAGCGGCAGACGGGUGAGUAACGCGUGGGAACGUACCUUUGGUUCGGAACAACCCAGGGAAACUUGGGCUAAUACCGGAUAAGCCCUUACGGGGAAAGGAUUAUCGCCGAAGAUCGGCCGCGUCUGAUUAGCUAGUUGGUGAGGUAACGGCUCACCAAGGCGACGAUCAGUAGCUGGUCUGAGAGGAUGAUCAGCCACAUUGGGACUGAGACACGGCCCAAACUCCUACGGGAGGCAGCAGUGGGGAAUAUUGGACAAUGGGCGAAAGCCUGAUCCAGCCAUGCCGCGUGGGGAG
RNAcentral lists this ribosomal RNA (351 nucleotides) under uncultured bacterium. RNAcentral's name for it is "bacterial SSU rRNA". It matches the Rfam family "Bacterial small subunit ribosomal RNA", at positions 29 to 408 of the family's 1533-position model. The record is from RNAcentral.